This 465-nucleotide ribosomal RNA is filed under the name uncultured bacterium. RNAcentral's name for it is "partial 16S ribosomal RNA". It matches the Rfam family "Bacterial small subunit ribosomal RNA", at positions 28 to 507 of the family's 1533-position model. The record is from RNAcentral.
GACGAACGCUGGCGGCGUGCUUAACACAUGCAAGUCGUACGGUAAGGCCCUUUCGGGGGUACACGAGUGGCGAACGGGUGAGUAACACGUGAGUAACCUGCCCACAACUUUGGGAUAACGCUAGGAAACUGGUGCUAAUACUGGAUAUGUGCUCCUGCUGCAUGGUGGGGGUUGGAAAGCUCCGGUGGUUGUGGAUGGACUCGCGGCCUAUCAGCUUGUUGGUGGGGUAGUGGCCUAGCAAGGCGGCGACGGGUAGCCGGCCUGAGAGGGUGACCGGCCACAUUGGGACUGAGAUACGGCCCAGACUCCUACGGGAGGCAGCAGUGGGGAAUAUUGCACAAUGGGCGCAAGCCUGAUGCAGCAACGCCGCGUGCGGGAUGACGGCCUUCGGGUUGUAAACCGCUUUCAGCAGGGACGAAGCUUUUUGUGACGGUACCUGCAGAAGAAGCACCGGCUAACUACGUG